Molecule: ribosomal RNA, 377 nt
Filed under: uncultured cyanobacterium
Lineage: Bacteria; Bacillati; Cyanobacteriota
Description: bacterial SSU rRNA
Rfam family: Bacterial small subunit ribosomal RNA
Source: RNAcentral
CGCAACCCUGACGGAGCAAGACCGCGUGUGAGAUGACGUCCUAAUGGUUCUAACCCUCUUUUCUCUGGGAAGAUGAUGACGGUACCAGAGGAAUCAGCCUCGGCUAACUCCGUGCCAGCAGCCGCGGUAAUACGGAGGAGGCAAGCGUUAUCCGGAAUUAUUGGGCGUAAAGCGUCCGUAGGUGGUUAUUCAAGUCUGCUGUUAAAGGCUGGAGCUUAACUCCGGUAGAGCAGUGGAAACUGGUGUGCUAGAGGGCGACAGGGGUAGAGGGAAUUCCCAGUGUAGCGGUGAAAUGCGUAGAGAUUGGGAAGAACACCGGUGGCGAAAGCGCUCUACUGGGUCGCACCUGACCCUCAGGGACGAAAGCUAAGGUAGCG